Molecule: long non-coding RNA, 1450 nt
Filed under: Homo sapiens (human)
Lineage: Eukaryota; Metazoa; Chordata; Mammalia; Primates; Hominidae
Description: long non-coding RNA NONHSAT184133.1
Source: RNAcentral
UAGCUGUCCAAUGGCUCCUGGAGCCAGAGAGAUGGCACCCAGCAUGCUGCAGUCUAGCCUCUCCCACUGACCACCUGAGCCUGCUGAAGCUGGCUUAUAUAAGGCUUUGGAAAGAGAAAGGGCUUUGGUGACUCUCUGGAAAUCAGGAAAAACUGUUCCAAGAUGUGUGUUAGAGAAGACCAGCUUCCGCAGGAAUGAACCCAGAAAACAGUCUACAACUAUAUUUCCAGCACAGGGGCUGGCACACACUGAGUGCUGAACUGAACUGAACAGAUGCUGUAAGCAAGAAAGAGUCAAAUUUUGCAAGAUUUUACUGAGGAGGAAGGCACUACCUCAAAGCCAGGUACUCUGCUCAGUGUGGGGACUCUAGGAGUGACAUAGACACAGAUGUUUCUUCCCCACAAAGCUUAUAACCCAGAUGAAAGGACAGACAUAUGAGUUUUAACUAACUUAAUUCUUUAUACAAUAAAGAGGAGUACUAAGUGCAUAGAUCUUUUAAGGGCCCAGGAAAAUAUUUAAGACAACUACAACAAAUUAUUGACAACACAAAAUUUUUACAAGGACCAAUUUAUAUCUUCACCUCAUGUAUGGAUUAAAUAAGAGAGCCAAUACUCAAUUCCGGGGAGUGAUAGACACAUUUGUAAUCCUGCAUCAGAAAGUACAAAGCGGAGUGGUUUCCCAACAGCCAAACGUGGGGUGAGGAGGAGACUGAGAAAGGCUUCCCACAGGGGCUACUGCAUGAGCUGGGUCUUGAAGGAGGAGUAGACCUUCCCAGGGAUGGAGACAGGGUGGAUCCCUAGGAAAGGAAACAAGCCAGAUGACACUCAGAUUCAGUAUUAUGGAGAAUGCAUUUCUCUAAGAUGGCAUCACCCUGUUAAAGAAAACCUUACUCACUGAUACUUGUUAAAGCACAGAAAAGCUUACUCAAUGAUACUUGUGUAAAUCACAUCACAAUAGAGGGACCACUGCAAAGGGAUUUUGCAACAGGGAAGAGAGAUUGAGCCCAACUCGGAGCACAGCACUGCAAAAGAAGAGUUUCUAGAGAAAGGAGAGGAUUGAUGGGUUCACUGGUGCUCACUGGAAACUAUCAAAUUUGUAAUGUGAGCAUCCCAACAUGCAGAGGAACCAGAAGUUCAAUAUUUGAGCUGAUUAAGGAUCAAUCAGCCAGUUCCCUGGGCAGGGGAGAGACUCUGCUUCCACAUUAUCAGGGAGGAACUCCCAGCUAGAGGAAGAAUGUACUUCAUUUUUAACUCUGUACCAGUCUUGAGAUUUCCUUUGGCAAAAAGCAAAAACAAAAACACGACCACCACCAACACAAAACUCAGCAGAAUUAAGAUGUAAGUUUCAAGCCCAGACCUCAAGAGACCAUGCAUUUUUCUGCUCUUUCUCGUACCUCUGCUCAGGCUGCACUGAAGACAAUUCCUGCCAAACCUAAUUAGAAACUGCAUGA